AACGAACGCUGGCGGCGUGCUUAACACAUGCAAGUCGAACGAUGCAGCCUAGCUUGCUAGGUGGAUUAGUGGUGAACGGGUGGGAAAUACGCGGGUAACCUACCUUUCUCUCUGGGAUAAGUCCGAGAACCGGGGACUAUUACCGGAUACGACCAAUCUCCGCAUGGGGUGGUGGUGGAAAGCGUUAUGUAGUGGUUAUAGUUGGGCUCACGGCCUAUCAGCUUGUUGGUCUGGUCACGGCUCACCAAGGCGACGACGGGUAGCCGGCCUGAGAGGGUGACCGGCCACACUGGGACUGAGACACGGCCCAGACUCGUACGGGAGGCAGCGGAGGGGAGUAGUGCACAAUGGGCGCAAGCCUGGUGCAGCGACGCCGCGUGGGGGAUGACGGCCAGCGGGUUGUAAACCUCUGUUAGCAGGGAAGAAGAGAGAUUGACGGUACCGGCAGAGAAAGCGCCGGCUAACUACGUG
Molecule: ribosomal RNA, 471 nt
Filed under: uncultured bacterium
Lineage: Bacteria
Description: partial 16S ribosomal RNA
Rfam family: Bacterial small subunit ribosomal RNA
Source: RNAcentral